Molecule: ribosomal RNA, 187 nt
Filed under: uncultured bacterium
Lineage: Bacteria
Description: partial 16S ribosomal RNA
Rfam family: Bacterial small subunit ribosomal RNA
Source: RNAcentral
CUCCUACGGGAGGCAGCAGUGGGGAAUCUUGCACAAUGGACGAAAGUCUGAUGCAGCAACGCCGCGUGGGGGAUGGAAGCUUUUCGGAGUGUAAACCCCUUUCGACCCGGAAGAAUGCCCGCAAGGGUUUGACGGUACGGGUAUAAGAAGCCCCGGCUAACCUACGUGCCAGCAGCCGCGGUAAUUC